GACUCCGUCUCAAAAAAAAAAAAAAAAAAAAAAAGGAACUACAGGGAGACAGGGUCUCACUGUGUUGCCUAGGCCGGUCUUGAACUCCUGGGCUCAAGUGAUUCUCCCACCUUGACCUCCUAAAUUGUUGGGAUUACAGGUGUGAGACAGUGCACCUGGCCGAAAUAGCUCAAGUUUCUGAAAAACAAAUCUGAAUCUAUUUGUUAUUCUUAGCGUCACUGGUCUGGCUUUCAGAAUUAACAUACAAGGUUGCCACACCUAGUUCUGCCCAGCUUUAUGUCUUUUAUUCCAGUAUUCCACCAAAGUUUGUUUUCCUGCAUUCCAGUUCUCAAGUCUUAAGAUAAAGAUUGUACUUGACAGUUUAGUAUAUCCAUAAAACUAUUUGAGGUGGUUAAGGUUCUUGGGUUCAUUUUCCUUAAUACUUUGCUGAAUAUUGUAGAUUGUAGGCAAUGAAAAAGUCUACUAAAUUAGGAAAACCUUGAAUAAUUAGGUAUCCUAGGUAAGAGCCCCUAAACAUCAAGCAAUCUGUGAGUCUGUAAAGAAAUAAAUAUUUUUUGGAUUAUUCUUAUCUAAUUCCACCCCUGUUGGAAGAUGAUUUCUUUGUUCUUUGCAACUAUGGAAGCUGUGAAAAUCAUCACAAGUGCCUCUGAAAGCGAGUGUUAGGUUGGUUAGAGGGUUUAAUAUUUUCUGCAAUGGUUUGUAGGAAUUUUAAUAAAUGUAGUAUAUUUUCUGAGAUGAUUUUGUAAAAGUACUAUUUUAAAUAUCAAAUCAACCAAUAAAUUCACAUUUGUGUUAGGAACAGAAAUAUGGUUUAUAUCUUUG
This 822-nucleotide long non-coding RNA is filed under the name Homo sapiens (human). Its description in RNAcentral is "HSALNT0368191". The record is from RNAcentral. Lineage: Eukaryota; Metazoa; Chordata; Mammalia; Primates; Hominidae.